Molecule: ribosomal RNA, 453 nt
Filed under: uncultured Porphyromonadaceae bacterium
Lineage: Bacteria; Pseudomonadati; Bacteroidota; Bacteroidia; Bacteroidales; Porphyromonadaceae
Description: partial 16S ribosomal RNA
Rfam family: Bacterial small subunit ribosomal RNA
Source: RNAcentral
ACGGAAGGCAGCAGUGAGGAAUAUUGGUCAGUGGGCGAAAGCCUGAACCAGCCAAGUCGCGUGAAGGAUGAAGGUAUUAUGCAUUGUAAACUUCUUUAGCAGCAGAGUAAUAAGGGGGUCGUGACCUCCGAUGCAAGUAUGCUGAAAAUAAGGAUCGGCUAACUCCGUGCCAGCAGCCGCGGUAAUACGGAGGAUCCGAGCGUUAUCCGGAUUUAUUGGGUUUAAAGGGUGCGCAGGCGGUUUUUUAAGUCAGUGGUGAAAUCGGGAGGCUCAACCUCAUCACGCCAUUGAUACUGGAAGACUUGAUUGCGGUUGAGGUUGGCGGAAUUCGUCGUGUAGCGGUGAAAUGCAUAGAUAUGACGAAGAACACCGAUUGCGUAGGCAGCUGACCAAGCCGUAAAUGACGCUCAUGCACGAAAGUGCGGGGAUCGAACAGGAUUAGAUACCCUGGUA